CAGCAGUGAGCCCAAUGCGGGGCUUGAACUCAAGAACAAGGAGAUCAUGACCUGAGCUAAAGUUGGAUGCUCAACUGACUGAGCCACCCAGGUGCCCCCAAAUACCCAUUCUUAAUUCUUUCCUGGAACGCAAGGGGAAUUUGUAUAAAAUGAAGCAUUUGACUUUGAUCUACACAACCUUCGUCCUGUGAAUCAGUCAUUCUGAGAAGAAAAUGAAUGGCAAUUAUUCGAUCUCCUGCAUAGCUCAUUUGAUUUCUUUGAAGGAGGAAGGAGGCUGAUUAAAACAUACAUAUUUCUUUCUGAAGUUAUUUUUUUCUUAUCAUUACCCCUAGUAAAAUGUUUUCUGUUACAAACUUA
Molecule: long non-coding RNA, 357 nt
Organism: Leopardus geoffroyi (Geoffroy's cat)
Lineage: Eukaryota; Metazoa; Chordata; Mammalia; Carnivora; Felidae
Exons: 2
Source: RefSeq, a predicted model, not a curated record